Molecule: RNase P RNA, 410 nt
Filed under: Methyloceanibacter sp.
Lineage: Bacteria; Pseudomonadati; Pseudomonadota; Alphaproteobacteria; Hyphomicrobiales; Hyphomicrobiaceae
Description: Bacterial RNase P class A
Rfam family: Bacterial RNase P class A
About the family: Ribonuclease P (RNase P) is a ubiquitous endoribonuclease, found in archaea, bacteria and eukarya as well as chloroplasts and mitochondria.
Source: Rfam by way of RNAcentral
UCAGCAAGCCGGAUGGCCGCUCCGCUCUAUGUUUCGCGUAUCGGGCGGGGAGGAAAGUCCGGGCUCCAUGGAAGCACGGUGCCGGAUAACCUCCGGCGGGGGGGUGACCCCAGGGACAGUGCCACAGAAAGCAAACCGCCCCGCCAGUUUGCAGGCGGGGUAAGGGUGAAAGGGUGCGGUAAGAGCGCACCGCGUUCUUGGCAACAAGGACGGCACGGCAAACCCCACCGGGAGCAAGACCGAAUAGGGGCGGCGCGGGAGCGGGAGACCGCUGCCAGUCGGCUUUCAGAUCAGCCGCCCGGGUUGGUUGCAUGAGGCGCGCCGCAAGGCGCACCCGAGAUGAAUGGCCAUCGCCCCGUCUCGCUUCGGCGAGCGGGGUACAGAACCCGGCUUACAGGCUUGGUGACACG